RNAcentral lists this ribosomal RNA (750 nucleotides) under Mesodontrachia sp. E FK-2010b. Its description in RNAcentral is "partial 16S ribosomal RNA". Lineage: Eukaryota; Metazoa; Mollusca; Gastropoda; Stylommatophora; Camaenidae. RNAcentral also lists the same sequence under 1 other name. The record is from RNAcentral.
CACGAAAAUAGUUGAGCUAAAUAAUUGUAAUUAUUAGAUUGUCAUAUGUAGCAUAAUAAAAACAAAUAAUUAUUUAGGGGUGAUAGGCUUGUCAAAACUAUAGAUAUCUUGAUUCUUUUUAAAAACAUUUAGUGUAAUGUCAACUAAGAAAUGAUAAGGUUUUUUAGUAGUAUGAAUAUGUCUUAACAGUUUAAAUCUUAACUUAAUCGUUAGAUUUUACCUACAUUAAAUUAUUAAUUUACAAUAUAUUGUGGCUUAUAUAAAGAAAUAUUUAAACUGUUUAAAUAAUUUAAAAUGUAACUAUAAGUAACUUGUAUAAAUACAAAAAAUGAACUCGGCAAAUUGCCUUUCAACUGUUUACCAAAAACAUAGCUAUGUGUAAUUAUUCAUAGUAAUUUCUGCUCAAUGAAAACUUAAAUAGCCGCAGUACCCUGACUGUGCAAAGGUAGCGAAAUAAUUUGGCUUAUAAUUGAAGUCCCGUAUAAAUGAAAAUUUGGGGGGCAUCUUUAUUCUUUGUAGAACUUGAAAUUACUAAUUAAGUGUAAAUUCUUAUAUUUAAAUGAUAGACGAGAAGACCCUAGAAAUUUUUAUAAAUUGUAGUUAAUCUUUUUGUUGGGGCAACAAGGUAACAUAAAAUUUACCUUUAAUAACAAGAACAUUUAUGCGAUAGAAUAAAUUACUCUAGGGAUAACAGCGUAAUUUAUAAAAGUUUGCGACCUCGAUGUUGGACUAGGGAACUGUUGUUUAGAA